This 253-nucleotide ribosomal RNA is filed under the name uncultured bacterium. RNAcentral's name for it is "partial 16S ribosomal RNA". It matches the Rfam family "Bacterial small subunit ribosomal RNA", at positions 524 to 776 of the family's 1533-position model. The record is from RNAcentral.
UACGAAGGGGGCUAGCGUUGUUCGGAAUUACUGGGCGUAAAGGGCGCGUAGGCGGCCUGCUAAGUUGAACGUGAAAUCCCUGGGCUCAACCCAGGAACUGCGUCCAAGACUGGGAGGCUUGAAUCCGGGAGAGGGAUGCGGAAUUCCAGGUGUAGCGGUGAAAUGCGUAGAUAUCUGGAGGAACACCGGUGGCGAAGGCGGCAUCCUGGACCGGUAUUGACACUGAGGCGCGAAAGCCAGGGGAGCAAACGGG